This 369-nucleotide ribosomal RNA is filed under the name Bacillus licheniformis. Its description in RNAcentral is "bacterial SSU rRNA". It matches the Rfam family "Bacterial small subunit ribosomal RNA", at positions 1 to 358 of the family's 1533-position model. The record is from RNAcentral. Lineage: Bacteria; Bacillati; Bacillota; Bacilli; Caryophanales; Bacillaceae.
UUUCAUGGAGAGUUUGAUCCUGGCUCAGGACGAACGCUGGCGGCGUGCCUAAUACAUGCAAGUCGAGCGGACCGAYGGGAGCUUGCUCCCUUAGGUCAGCGGCGGACGGGUGAGUAACACGUGGGUAACCUGCCUGUAAGACUGGGAUAACUCCGGGAAACCGGGGCUAAUACCGGAUGCUUGAUUGAACCGCAUGGUUCAAUCAUAAAAGGUGGCUUUUAGCUACCACUUACAGAUGGACCCGCGGCGCAUUAGCUAGUUGGUGAGGUAAYGGCUCACCAAGGCGACGAUGCGUAGCCGACCUGAGAGGGUGAUCGGCCACACUGGGACUGAGACACGGCCCAGACUCCUACGGGAGGCAGCAGUAGG